AUUGAACGCUGGCGGCAUGCCUUACACAUGCAAGUCGAACGGUAACGCGGGGCAACCUGGCGACGAGUGGCGAACGGGUGAGUAAUGUAUCGGAACGUGCCCAGUUGUGGGGGAUAACUGCUCGAAAGAGCAGCUAAUACCGCAUACGACCUGAGGGUGAAAGCGGGGGAUCGCAAGACCUCGCGCAAUUGGAGCGGCCGAUAUCAGAUUAGGUAGUUGGUGGGGUAAAGGCCCACCAAGCCAACGAUCUGUAGCUGGUCUGAGAGGACGACCAGCCACACUGGGACUGAGACACGGCCCAGACUCCUACGGGAGGCAGCAGUGGGGAAUUUUGGACAAUGGGCGCAAGCCUGAUCCAGCCAUGCCGCGUGCGGGAAGAAGGCCUUCGGGUUGUGAACCGCUUUUGUCAGGGAAGAAACGCUCUGGGUUAAUACCUCGGGGUAAUGACGGUACCUGAAGAAUAAGCACCGGCUAACUACGUGCCAGCCGCCGCCGUAA
RNAcentral lists this ribosomal RNA (498 nucleotides) under uncultured bacterium. RNAcentral describes it as "partial 16S ribosomal RNA". It matches the Rfam family "Bacterial small subunit ribosomal RNA", at positions 29 to 523 of the family's 1533-position model. The record is from RNAcentral.